This 491-nucleotide ribosomal RNA is filed under the name uncultured bacterium. RNAcentral describes it as "partial 16S ribosomal RNA". It matches the Rfam family "Bacterial small subunit ribosomal RNA", at positions 29 to 506 of the family's 1533-position model. The record is from RNAcentral.
AGUGAACGCUGGCGGUAGGCCUAACACAUGCAAGUCGAACGGCAGCACAGUAAGAGCUUGCUCUUACGGGUGGCGAGUGGCGGACGGGUGAGGAAUACAUCGGAAUCUACUUUUUCGUGGGGGAUAACGUAGGGAAACUUACGCUAAUACCGCAUACGACCUACGGGUGAAAGCAGGGGAUCUUCGGACCUUGCGCGAUUGAAUGAGCCGAUGUCGGAUUAGCUAGUUGGCGGGGUAAAGGCCCACCAAGGCGACGAUCCGUAGCUGGUCUGAGAGGAUGAUCAGCCACACUGGAACUGAGAAACGGUCCAGACUCCUACGGGAGGCAGCAGUGGGGAAUAUGGGACAAGGGGCGCAAGCCUGAUCCAGCCAUACCGCGUGGGUGAAGAAGGCCUUCGGGUGGUAAAGCCCUUUUGUUGGGAAAGAAAAGCAGCAGGUUAAUACCCCGCUGUUCUGACGGGACCCAAAGAAUAAGCACCGGCUAACUUCGG